Molecule: long non-coding RNA, 491 nt
Filed under: Anser brachyrhynchus (Pink-footed goose)
Lineage: Eukaryota; Metazoa; Chordata; Aves; Anseriformes; Anatidae
Description: lncRNA (ENSABRG00000010482.1)
Source: RNAcentral
GUGGACCUGAUUUACAGAUAGAAGGAUGCUUUUGAAUUCAUGUUAUUGUGUUUGACAGCUUCUAGCUUCCCUGGGCAUUAGUAAUAGAAAGCCAUUGACAAGAGACAUUCAACAGCAAAACAGUAAGCUGGCCAAUAAAGUAGACAUAAUUGCACUAAAUCUUUUUUUUUUUUUUUUUUUUUUUUUUUUCAGAUCAAGAAUCUUUCCUGAGGAUGGGCUUUCAGCUCCUGAAGAUGGUGAGCAGGAAUGUGCAUACUGUUUGUCACAGUCUUGGAAGAAGAAAAUGCAUGUCAAGCAAGAUAACUGACACAGAAUAAUGAGACCUCAGACUAGAAAAAACACAUUCUCCCCUUUCCUUCUGUUUCUCUCCUCUCCCUUCCUCCUUCUCGCAGCUGUCACUUAAACUAUUGAUUAUAAUAAGGUAUUAUGUUUCAUCACAUUUGACCAAACAUUCAAAUAAAGCAGAAUUGGUUGGACUUGGUACUUGGGGA